RNAcentral lists this ribosomal RNA (253 nucleotides) under uncultured bacterium. RNAcentral describes it as "partial 16S ribosomal RNA". It matches the Rfam family "Bacterial small subunit ribosomal RNA", at positions 524 to 776 of the family's 1533-position model. The record is from RNAcentral.
UACGUAGGGUGCAAGCGUUAAUCGGAAUUACUGGGCGUAAAGCGUGCGCAGGCGGCUUUGCAAGACAGAUGUGAAAUCCCCGGGCUCAACCUGGGAACUGCAUUUGUGACUGCAAGGCUAGAGUACGGUAGAGGGGGAUGGAAUUCCGCGUGUAGCAGUGAAAUGCGUAGAUAUGCGGAGGAACACCGAUGGCGAAGGCGGUGAGCUGGGCAGUUGCUGACACUGAGGCGCGACAGCGUGGGGAGCAAACAGG